Molecule: long non-coding RNA, 1636 nt
Organism: Salvelinus sp. IW2-2015
Lineage: Eukaryota; Metazoa; Chordata; Actinopteri; Salmoniformes; Salmonidae
Source: RefSeq, a predicted model, not a curated record
ACACUCCUGGCAUCCAACUGGGCUCCAUGCCAGAGAUAAGGAGCAUUAACAUGCAUGGCUGACUCCAACAGAACGACUGGGACCGAGGAGAGGAGGACAACAGAGUAGAGGAGUGGAGAUCUGUAUGAGGAGACAAGAGGCAAGGAGAGUCGAUGAGAUCUGAAGGAGAGGAGGUGAGGCGCUGCAGUGCUAUGGCUGUAACAUCCUCCAGGGGCAGAUGUACGUGGACGUGGGCUGCUCCAGCCCCAAGGUCAUCACUUGCUCCCACUCACACAAAGGCUUCAAGCACCGUUUCUGCAUUAAGACAGAGAGCAGUGCCAUGGGAAUCAUUCUGACCAGCGGUUGCGCCACGUCUCAGCACUGCCAACAGGAGCUACCCGGGGUGUGGAUCCACUGCUGUGUUUCAGACCUUUGCAACAGCACCCCCCACUGGCGCAGAACGUCCUUACACUGGCUGUGCUCUUUGGCUACCCUGCUGCUCAUACUGUGAAUGCAAGUGUGAGAGAGAAUUUUUGAGCAAAGGAACACUGACUAACCCCCACUUUCAGCCCUACUGGCCAAUCCUGUGGUUGUGUCCUAGACCAAAGUCAUUGGAGGAGGUUGCUCAAUAAGAGGCAUGCACCUGCAUGGAUACGUAGUGGAUGAGAAUACAAUCUUUAUGCAUUGGAUAGCCUGUGAAUAUUGUUAUUUUCAUUUUCCAUGUGCAUCAUAUUCUUUACGAGGCCACAAUGAGAUUAUGAAGGUAGUUGGUCCAAGAAGCGUUUAUGUUGCUAAUAUAUUGAUGCCAAUAACGUUGUGAGUGUUGACACAGUAUAUUUCAAUAGGGUCAUAUGUUGGGGUUGUGGGGGGAGACAGAGAUUGGGUGAUGUUUUGGAGAUACAUUUUGUUUAAAUGGCUAAAUAGGCGUUUCUCUCGGCACAAAAUACAUGCUUUCUUAAAUGGCAUUGUUCAUUUUCAUUUACCUAUUUGGUCAGAUUAAAUCAAAUCAAGCUUUAUUUAUACAGCACAUUUCAGACAUGGAAUGCAACGCAAUGCGCUUUACAGGAAAAAUCGUUAUAAAAAAUGAUAAUGAAAGCUGAAAUAUUUACUACACAAACAUAAGUUACAAAACAAAAGAAUGACAAACUGAACUAAAAAUAUGUGUUUUAAGAUCUUUUAAAUAUGUCCACGAUUUUGCUGCCCCUCAGGUUCUCCGGCAGGCUUUUCCAGAGGCCGGGGGAUAGUCAAAAGGCCAGUGCCUACAAAGGGACCUAUUGGGUACCUAUGUCUGACAUGUACUGGGGUGCACAAUCGUGAAUUGAUUUGAAAACCAAUAGAAAACCUUAAAACCGGUGUGUUGUGUGCUCUCCGUCUGGUCUUGGUCAGUACCCACGCUGCAGCGUUCUGUAUUCUUCGACAGUCUAAUAAUUUAUCUGUGGAGCUAAACUCCUUUGGUGACACAGAAAUCCUCUGGUCAGUCAGUCAGCAAGGCCUUUGGGGUCCUAUUCUGUAUGUCCAGUAGAGGGCAGCACCUUCACCCCCAAGUAGGUUACAGCCGUAGGAUACUCUCUUUACUCCCAUGUUAAAUUGCCUACUUCACGCAUGAACUCGACAAUGGCUGUAUUUUUUUUUAAAUUCUAUAAACAUUUUAGAUAUG